RNAcentral lists this ribosomal RNA (923 nucleotides) under uncultured bacterium. RNAcentral's name for it is "bacterial SSU rRNA". It matches the Rfam family "Bacterial small subunit ribosomal RNA", at positions 1 to 917 of the family's 1533-position model. The record is from RNAcentral.
UGAGUUUGAUCCUGGCUCAGGACGAACGCUGGCGGCGUGCUUAACACAUGCAAGUCAACGGGAAAGAUGUAGCAAUACGUCGAGUACAGUGGCGCACGGGUGAGUAAUAUGUAAGUAAUCUGCCUAUAGGAUGGGAAUAACUCCGCGAAAGCGGGGCUAAUACCGAAUAAUGCAGCGGCACCGCAUGGUGAUGUUGUUAAAGAUGCAGCAAUGUAUUGCCUAUAGAUGAGCUUGCAGCCGAUUAGCUAGUUGGCAGGGUAAAGGCCUACCAAGGCAACGAUCGGUAGCUGGUCUGAGAGGAUGAUCAGCCACACUGGAACUGAGACACGGUCCAGACUCCUACGGGAGGCAGCAGUGAGGAAUAUUGGGCAAUGCCCGAAAGGGUGACCCAGCAACGCCGCGUGGAGGAUGAAGGCCGUAAGGUUGUAAACUCCUGUGAGAUGGGAAGAAAGUCUAUAAUUCGUAAGGGUUAUAGUUUGACUGUACCAUCAGAGGAAGCCCCGGCUAACUACGUGCCAGCAGCCGCGGUAAUACGUAGGGGGCUAGCGUUGUCCGGAUUUACUGGGUGUAAAGGGCGCGUAGGCGGGUUCGUAAGUCAGUGGUGAAAUCUCCCGGCUUAACCGGGAAACUGCCUUUGAUACUGCGAAUCUUGAGUUCAGAAGAGAGAGAUGGAAUUCCAGGUGUAGUGGUGAAAUACGUAGAUAUCUGGAAGAACACCAGUGGCGAAGGCGAUCUCUUGGUCUGAAACUGACGCUGAGGCGCGAAAGCGUGGGUAGCAAACAGGAUUAGAUACCCUGGUAGUCCACGCUGUAAACGAUGAUUACUAGGUGUUGGUCCCAUAGGGAUCAGUGCCGCAGCAAACGUAUUAAGUAAUCCACCUGGGGAGUACGAUCGCAAGGUUGAAACUCAAAGGAAUUGACGGA